Molecule: ribosomal RNA, 253 nt
Filed under: uncultured bacterium
Lineage: Bacteria
Description: partial 16S ribosomal RNA
Rfam family: Bacterial small subunit ribosomal RNA
Source: RNAcentral
UACGAGGGGCCCAAGCGUUAUUCGGAAUUACUGGGCUUAAAGAGUUCGUAGGCGGCAUUGCAAGUAGGGUGUGAAAGCCCUCGGCUCAACCGAGGAAUUGCGCUCUAAACUGCAGUGCUCGAGGAACCUAGAGGUGAGCAGAACAGAUGGUGGAGCGGUGAAAUGCGUUGAUAUCAGCUGGAAUACCGGAGGCGAAGGCGGCUCACUGGGGGUUUUCUGACGCUGAGGAACGAAAGCCAGGGUAGCGAACGGG